CCUACGGGUGGCAGCAGUGAGGAAUAUUGGACAAUGGGCGAAACCCUGAUCCAGCCACGCCGCGUGAAGGAAGAAGUAUUUCGGGCUGUAAAGCUCUUUCAGCAGGGAAGAAGAUGACGGUACCUGAGUCAGACGCCCCGGCCAUCUACGUACCCGCCGCCGCAGUAAUACGUAGGGGGCACGGGUUAGCCGGAUUUACUGGGUGUAAAGGGAGCGUAGACGGUGAGACAAGUCUGAAGUGAAGGCCCGGGGCUCAACCGCUGGACUGCCUUUGAAACUGGCUGACUGGAGUGCUGGCGAGGUGAGCGGAAUUCGUAGUGUAGCGGUGAAAUGCGUAGAUAUUAGGAAGAACACCAGUUGCGAAGGCGGCUUGCUGGACAGUAACUGACGUUGAGGCUCGAAAGCGUGGGUAGCAAACAGGAUUAGAUACCCGAGUAGUC
RNAcentral lists this ribosomal RNA (440 nucleotides) under uncultured bacterium. RNAcentral describes it as "partial 16S ribosomal RNA". It matches the Rfam family "Bacterial small subunit ribosomal RNA", at positions 338 to 795 of the family's 1533-position model. The record is from RNAcentral.